This 1068-nucleotide ribosomal RNA is filed under the name Triticum aestivum (bread wheat). RNAcentral's name for it is "partial small subunit ribosomal RNA". The record is from RNAcentral. Lineage: Eukaryota; Viridiplantae; Streptophyta; Magnoliopsida; Poales; Poaceae.
AUGGCGUCGCAGAAGCGCUUCUCGCUGCCGGUGGCGCUCGUGUUCCUCCUCGUGCUGCUGUUCGUCGCCGGCGCAGGCUUCAAGCUUCAUCACAAGGAUUGCAACCCGUGGGUGUCACGCGCGAGCGAACUAUCCGAGGAUUCCAGGUCCAUGCCCCGCAAACUGUUGCGCGUAGCCGUCCACCGAGAAUCCGAGGAGCCGUCGCCGGGCGGCUCGGCUCUGCCGAGGGGCAUCGUGCAAGCCACGUCCGACCUCGAGAUGGUGCCCAUGGUCGGCGACCCCGAGCAGCAGCAGGGCGGCGGCAGGCCGUCCAAGAGCCUCCUCGCGAUCCCGGUGGGCAUCAAGAACAAGGCGGCCGUCGACAAGCUCUGGGGCGACCUCGAGUGGUCGCGCCGCGCGGUGCACGUCUCGGCGCCCGGCCAGACCAAGUGGUGGUUCGCCAAGAGGUUCCUGCACCCGGACGUGGUCGCGGCGUACGACUACGUCUUCCUCUGGGACGAGGACGUCGAGGUGGACGCCUUCGACCCGCUCGUGUACCUCGACGCCGUCAGGAGAGAAGGGCUCGAGAUAUCGCAGCCGGCGCUGGACCGCCGGUCGGAGAUCCACCACGGCAUCACGACGCGCGCGCUGCCGAGGCCCGGAGCCGAAGGAGGCGGCGGCGUGCACAGGCGGUUCUACAAGCCGGCGGCCGGCUGGGGAGGUGGAGAGUGCGACGGCAGCAGCACGGGGCCGCCGUGCGCCGGGUGGGUGGAGAUCAUGGUCCCGGUGUUCUCCCGCGCGGCGUGGCGCUGCAGCUGGGGCAUGGUGCAGAACGACCUGGUGCACGCGUGGGGCCUCGACUACAAGCUCGGCUACUGCGCGGAGGGCGACCGGACGCUCAAGGUCGGCGUCGUCGACAGCGAGUACGUCCUCCACAGGGGCGUCCCCACCCUCGGCGGCGCCGAGGGCAAGGCCGCCGCGUUCCGGGCCGCCGUGAGGCGGCGAUCGUUCACCGAGAUGCAGAUAUUCAACAGGAGAUGGAAGGAGGCCGCGGCGGACGACGCAUCCUGGACAGACCCUUACCCGUAG